RNAcentral lists this ribosomal RNA (255 nucleotides) under uncultured bacterium. Its description in RNAcentral is "partial 16S ribosomal RNA". It matches the Rfam family "Bacterial small subunit ribosomal RNA", at positions 793 to 1055 of the family's 1533-position model. The record is from RNAcentral.
GUCCACGCCGUAAACGAUGGAUACUAGCUGUUCGGAGCAAUCUGAGUGGCUAAGCGAAAGUGAUAAGUAUCCCACCUGGGGAGUACGCACGCAAGUGUGAAACUCAAAGGAAUUGACGGGGGCCCCGCACAAGCGGUGGAGCAUGUGGUUUAAUUCGAUGAUACGCGAGGAACCUUACCAGGGCUUAAAUGUAGAUUGACAGGACUGGAAACAGUUUUUCUUCGGACAAUUUACAAGGUGCUGCAUGGUUGUCGU